RNAcentral lists this ribosomal RNA (493 nucleotides) under uncultured bacterium. RNAcentral's name for it is "partial 16S ribosomal RNA". It matches the Rfam family "Bacterial small subunit ribosomal RNA", at positions 29 to 523 of the family's 1533-position model. The record is from RNAcentral.
AUUGAACGCUGGCGGCAUGCUUUACACAUGCAAGUCGAACGGUAACAGGUUAAGCUGACGAGUGGCGAACGGGUGAGUAAUGCAUCGGAACGUGCCCGAGCGUGGGGGAUAACGCAGCGAAAGCUGCGCUAAUACCGCAUACGAUCUGAGGAUGAAAGCGGGGGACCGUAAGGCUUCGCGCGAUCGGAGCGGCCGAUGUCAGAUUAGGUAGUUGGUGGGGUAAAGGCCCACCAAGCCGACGAUCUGUAGCUGGUCUGAGAGGACGACCAGCCACACUGGGACUGAGACACGGCCCAGACUCCUACGGGAGGCAGCAGUGGGGAAUUUUGGACAAUGGGCGAAAGCCUGAUCCAGCAAUGCCGCGUGCAGGAAGAAGGCCUUCGGGUUGUAAACUGCUUUUGUACGGAGCGAAAAGGUCCUUUCUAAUACAAGGGGCUCAUGACGGUACCGUAAGAAUAAGCACCGGCUAACUACGUGCCAGCAGCCGCAGUAA